GAAUUUAAUAAUUUAUUUAGAAUUUUAGUUUUAAGGGCCGUUAAUAAAAAUAAUUUUUAUUUUAUUAUUGUUUUAGAAAAAAUUUUUUUAAUUAUAGUUAAAUAGUAUAGUGAUAGAAUAUUUUAAAAUUUUAAAAAGAAAAAUUUAUUUUUUGUACCUUGUGUAUCAGGGUUUAUUAAAAAUAAGUUAAAAAUUUAAUAUUCUCGAAUUUAAGAGAGUUAGUUAAUUAUAAAUUUUAUUGUUGAAUAAAUAUUUAAAAUAAUUAAUUGGAAAUGAAACGUUAUUCGUUCUUAAAUAUAUCUAGUUUUUAAAGAAAAAAGUUUAAUUUGUUUAUUUAUAGUUAAAUUAUUAAAUUUUUAAUGAUUUAUUAUUAAUAAGUUAUUUUUAAAGGGAUAAGCUUUUAAAGAAAUUUUUUAUAAUUAAUAUUUAUUUGAGAAUAAGUUUUGGGAUUAUAAAUUUCUAUAAAUAAAAAUUUGUUAUAAUUUAUUAUUUUAAUUUUAAUAUUUUUAUUAAGUUUAAAUUUUAUAUUUAAAUAUUUAAUUUAAUUUAAAAGUUUAAGGUAUAAUGAUAGAAUUAGUAUAGAAAAUUGUAGAGUUAAAUUUUAUUAUUAAGGUAAUUUUAAGGAACUCGGCAAAUACAUUUUUCACCUGUUUAUUAAAAACAUGUCCUUUUGAUUAUAAUUUAAGGUCUGAUCUGCCCCCUGAGUAUUUAAAUGGCCGCGGUAUUUUGACCGUGCAAAGGUAGCAUAAUAAUUAGUUUUUUAAUUGAAAGCUGGAAUGAAUGAUUUCAUGAAAAAAUAGCUGUCUCAGAUUUAUUUAUUUUAAAAAUUUAUUUUUAAGUUAAAAAGCUUAAAUUUAAUUAAAAGACGAGAAGACCCUAUAGAGUUUAAUAUUUAAAUAAAUAAGAUAUUUUUAGGUUUAAUUUUUUUAUUUAUAAAGAAU
RNAcentral lists this ribosomal RNA (941 nucleotides) under Larinotus sp. NLG-2013. Its description in RNAcentral is "partial 16S ribosomal RNA". The record is from RNAcentral. Lineage: Eukaryota; Metazoa; Arthropoda; Insecta; Coleoptera; Trogossitidae.